Molecule: long non-coding RNA, 755 nt
Organism: Lucilia cuprina (Australian sheep blowfly)
Lineage: Eukaryota; Metazoa; Arthropoda; Insecta; Diptera; Calliphoridae
Exons: 3
Source: RefSeq, a predicted model, not a curated record
UGUUAGCAGAGAAAAUUACUUCAAAACAAAAAAUUAUAUUAUUGAUCGAAAAUUUUAGAGAGAAUUUCUUUCAACUAAAUUUCCUGAACACCUAUUGAAAAACAAGCAAUUAUUGACUAAAGUACUAAAUCGUGACAAAUUGUAAUCAAUUUUAUUGCUAUUAAAAUUGUCAGCUAGAUUAUAGAUAACGUUUGAAAUCUAUAUAAUUGGAAUUUAUUACAAGUGGAAAUUAUUUGUCGAAGAUUUAAGCAAUAGUCCAGCUAUUGAUUGUGUUGUGUGUGUUAUUUCUCCCCAAAAAACGUCAUCAAGUUCAAGCUUUCUGUACAGAAAGAUCUGCUGCCCUAUUAUGUCUUAUGGAUAAAAUAAAUAAAAGUGAAAUUUAUUUAAGAAGAGGCUGGCCUCGAAAUUGAGAAUUUCCGAUGUUUGCAGAUCACAAAGUCAAAGAAAUAAUUUUGUAACGGCGCUGAGUUUCACAAACAUUUUGGUGUCCGUCAAUCCAUUAUCCAUUAAUGUCCACAAUCAUUAAAACAGAUAUUGAUGAAUGCUCAAGUAAACAAUAAACAACCAUAGCUGAAAAGAUGAUGUAAUGUUAGAGCCAUUUUCUGAUCUUGAAAUCUACAGAAACUCAUAAGCUAAUCUAAUAUUGACAAAUUUACAUCAAUAGAAAGUAACGAAUUUACACCAAUAGAAAGUAACGAAGACAUUUUUUAUAAACUUUAAAAAAUAUAUUUUAAAUAAAACUUAAUUAAUUGAAA